GAGAAGGAAGUUCUGGGAAGGAGAAGAAAGCUCAAAGGUUCAAAGUUCAAAUUGGCAGGUAAAACCGUCAAAAUUGGUAAAGUUUAUCUUUUAUACUGACGGUUACACGAGUUACGAAGGCGGCACAUUAAAUGUUAGUAAUGAUGAGAAUUCGAAUGGGAAGCGUCCAGAUCAAUUCUUAGACAUUUUAUCAGAUUGGGCUUCUCGGUUGGAUUUCCGGUUUUUAGACCAUCUUGUUCAAUUUCAAUCCUUUAUUGACUGGGCCUUUUACUCUGGACAUUCAGCCAUUCCCUAUCUCAUCUUAUGGACCAAAUUGGGUAUGUCUCAAUUACUUCCUGUUAUGGGCCUUUAGUAAAUUCUAAUAUCAUGGACCAUUUAUAGUUUUCUAUUAAACAUUCUGUUCAACAAAAAACUAGGGGGCAAUGUUGGGUCAUGAUAUUUCCCCUCUUUGGGCCGAG
Molecule: long non-coding RNA, 458 nt
Filed under: Panax ginseng (ginseng)
Lineage: Eukaryota; Viridiplantae; Streptophyta; Magnoliopsida; Apiales; Araliaceae
Description: long non-coding RNA (PGIN_LNC009646)
Source: RNAcentral